This 29-nucleotide small RNA is filed under the name Bombyx mori (domestic silkworm). RNAcentral describes it as "ovarian small RNA-28719". Lineage: Eukaryota; Metazoa; Arthropoda; Insecta; Lepidoptera; Bombycidae. The record is from RNAcentral.
UCGCCGUUGCGACGGGGCAACGCGCCCAC